Molecule: non-coding RNA, 344 nt
Organism: Odocoileus virginianus texanus
Lineage: Eukaryota; Metazoa; Chordata; Mammalia; Artiodactyla; Cervidae
Source: RefSeq, a predicted model, not a curated record
ACUGGAUCUGGCCUACUUUUAUCAUGGUAUUUCAGCUUCUUGGCAGCAGAAGUCAUGGGAUGAGAAGACCAACCUUCUAUCUCAGAAGUCAAGGGUUUCCAGGAAUACUGAUCCUGACUGGCUUAUCAAGGCAAUGGAUUAUGACGUUUGACUCUCAGCAUUUCUCUUGUGAUGCCAUUCCUCUCUGAACAGCCCAGCAGAGCUGUGAGAGGCCAUAGCAGUGCCCUCAAGUCAGAAAGGAAGAGCAGGUUGCGACCAUCACUCAGAAAACAGACUCAGGCUGAUGGAAGAUGUUCUCAUUGGGAUGGUGUGCCCUUUCCUGCUCUUGUUUAAUGGAACCUCCA